UGGCUUCGAUCGGUUACAAACUGUAUCAAAUCACAAGUUUGCGACUGUAUCCAGGCCAU
RNAcentral lists this microRNA precursor (59 nucleotides) under Panagrellus redivivus. RNAcentral describes it as "microRNA prd-mir-7880b precursor". The record is from miRBase by way of RNAcentral. Lineage: Eukaryota; Metazoa; Nematoda; Chromadorea; Rhabditida; Panagrolaimidae.